Molecule: ribosomal RNA, 253 nt
Filed under: uncultured bacterium
Lineage: Bacteria
Description: partial 16S ribosomal RNA
Rfam family: Bacterial small subunit ribosomal RNA
Source: RNAcentral
UACGUAGGGGGCAAGCGUUGUCCGGAAUUAUUGGGCGUAAAGAGCUCGUAGGCGGCUUGUCGCGUCGGAUGUGAAAGCCCGGGGCUUAACUCCGGGUCUGCAUUCGAUACGGGCAGGCUAGAGUUCGGUAGGGGAGAUCGGAAUUCCUGGUGUAGCGGUGAAAUGCGUAGAUAUCGGGAGGAACGCCUGAGGCGAAGGCGGGCUACUGGGCCGAUACUGACGCUGAUGCGCGAAAGCCAGGGGAGCGAACGGG